CCUUCCCUACGGGGCGCAGCAGUGGGGAAUAUUGCACAAUGGGGGAAACCCUGAUGAAGCGACGCCGCGUGAGUGAAGAAGUAUCUCGGUAUGUAAAGCUCUAUCAGCAGGAAAGAUAAUGACGGUACCUGACUAAGAAGCCCCGGCUAACUACGUGCCAGCAGCCGCGGUAAUACGUAGGGGGCAAGCGUUAUCCGGAUUUACUGGGUGUAAAGGGAGCGUAGACGGCUGCGCAAGUCUGAAGUGAAAGCCCGGGGCCCACCCCCGGGACUGCUUGGGAAACUG
RNAcentral lists this ribosomal RNA (285 nucleotides) under uncultured bacterium. RNAcentral describes it as "partial 16S ribosomal RNA". It matches the Rfam family "Bacterial small subunit ribosomal RNA", at positions 333 to 635 of the family's 1533-position model. The record is from RNAcentral.